AUAGUGUUAGUUAACUUAUAAUAUAUACUUGUCGUGUAUAGGUUGCUUUUUUAAAGCACACUAUU
This 65-nucleotide transfer RNA is filed under the name Gyrodactylus gurleyi. RNAcentral describes it as "tRNA-Asp". The record is from RNAcentral. Lineage: Eukaryota; Metazoa; Platyhelminthes; Monogenea; Gyrodactylidea; Gyrodactylidae.